GGUGGCUGCCCCAAAAAGAAUGGUACUUCAUAAAUGUAUAUUUAAUUUAAAUUGUUCGGGCGCCAGACAAGCAAAACUUGUCAAGAAAAUAAAAUAUUUGUUUAUUUAUUUAUUUAUAAUGCGUAACUAAUUUCGGUUUCCCCGUAAAUAGCUCAAGCCACUGUUACACAACAACAGAAAGGUUUCCAAAAAAAACUACAUGAAGUUAAAUUUUCAUACCAUUUGUAUUUUUUUCCGUUACUUCACAUAACAAAUGACAGAAGAAACGUGUAAACAGAAAGUAACAAUAUUGCGGUUCAAGUUCAAUUCAAGAUUUCAUAAACAAUCACAAAAUCACGAGAGUCCUUGAUUCACAAGUGUCUUAAAGUUCGUUUUCCUCUUUAAAGUUCUUUUCUUUUUACAUGUUCAAUUUUAAUCAAAGGGAAAAAAAAAACAAGAGAGAAGAAAAAAAAACACAACAAAGAAAACUAAAUAAUCCCAACGAGUGUUUGUGUAUGGGUGUAUGCGUGUGCAAUGAGAGUAUGUGUGUGUGUGUGUGUGUGUGUGUGUGUGUGUGUGGUGGCUGUGGGAAGUCCGUGUUGCGGCCGCUAAUCCCGGGCCGGGGACAGGGUACGUGAGGUUAACAAAUGAUGGACAACAUCACUAGUACCUGAGGCAGGCGAACGAACCAGUCUGGAUUGUGUAUCCCCAGGCAGGCGACCGAACCAUGUAGUAGAGCUCAAUUUCUCCGACACUUCGGCGAUCGCACCCAGUCAGCGCAUGCACAGAUUCCAGCACAAAACAGCAACGACCUUCAGGUAGCGUGCGUCCCAUUCCAAUACAACCUACACGUGUGUUUUGUCUUUACUUCCCUCUCUUUCACUUCCGUUUCUAAACUCACUUUUAUAUUAAAUUUCCUUCAUUGAUUUCCGCCCAUUAGAAAAAGUGAAAAGCUGGCAUGGAUUUCUUCCAAAUCGCCACACUCUCCCUCCCUGGAGAAAACAACCUAUGGUUGUUGAAAUAUUAAUCAUAUUUAAAAUCCAAUGAAUUCCUCAUCAUCAGACGAUUCAUUGAAUAUUUGGCAGAGUCUUUUCUUCUCCUGGCUUUCCAGCUCUUCAGCCGUGGGAAAGCAUGGUUUCAGGUUGCACACAUGCACUAUGCGAACAUCUUCGCCAGUGGACUCUAGCGCUACUCGAUAAUUCAAUGGACCCAUCUGCUUUAUGACACGGUAGGGGCCUUUCCAUUUCUGAGCCAAUUUUGCAGUGAAGUGAUGUUGUGCACUAGACUGGGGAAAAGUCCUCAUCCACACACGAUCCUUUUCCUUGUAUGUAACCUCUCGUCUUUUUUUAUUAUAAUUCCGAAGCUGUCUCUUUUGUGCUUUUUUGCAGCAUUCCAUGGCCUUGGUCUGAAGCUCAGUUAGAUGGUGGACUGUAUCGUAAGAUAGACAAUCUGGAGUUAUAUUCUUGCCAUGUAACAACUUGUCCAUGGGACUUUGCAGUUUCCUUCCCAAAUGAAGCUCUGCAGGGGUCAUCCCAAUCGUUUCCUGGACAGCUGAAUUAAUAGCGAAACGGAGUUCAGAAUGAAGUCCGGUACCCCCCAACGGGUUAGAAUUUCCUUCCGAAGAAGUAAUGCAACAGUCUGAGCUUUAGCGUUGCGCAUGGGAAAACAUUCCACCCACCGGGAGUAAUAGUCUACAACGACUAAGAGGUACUCAUUUUGCUGUGUGCUGCGUGGCAUUGGGCCCAUAAUGUCCACUCCAAGCAUCUCGUUGGAAUGGGUGGUGGUGACUUGUUGUAGUUUGCCCACAGGUUUCUGAUUUUCUCCCUUAAGAGUCUGGCAUUUGACACAUUUUUUAACAUGGUGUUUUAUGUCAGUCCACAUUCCAGGCCAGAAUGCAACAUCAUGGAUACGCUUGUAGGUCUUAUAAAUACCUACAUGACCGCUCCAGGGAUUUGCGUGGUAGUGGUGUAGAAUGGACGACACAAGGCUGUUAGGAAUGUACACUCUGUAAUGAACUUGACUGUUUGGCAGAUUGUGGCUGGAGACAUCGGAAACUCAGCAUUCUCCUGCUGGUCUUGGUUGGUGUACAGGUUACAGCUGGUACGAAUCCGAGACAGAGCAUCAGGUGCCAUAUUUAGUUUUCCUUUGCGAUAUUCAAUGAUAAAAUCAAAUCUCUGAAGUCGCAAGGCCCACCGGAUAAGGCGACUCUUGGUUUUUGUGGAAGAAAUUACCCAUUGUAAGGCUGAGUGGUCUGUGAUGACGGUGAACAAUUUGUGCUCUAGGUAGUGCUGCCAUUUUUCCAGGGCCCAAAUUACAGCCAAACACUCUUUUUCGGUGGCUGUAUAAUUGGUCUCCGCUUUGUUCAGGGUUCUGCUGGCAUAAGCAAUAACUUGUUCUAAACCCUUUUCCUUGCGCUGGGUCAGCACAGCACCCAAACCAGUGUCACUGGCAUCAGUGUAAACAGUAAAAGGCAAUUGAAGGUCCGGAUGGCCAAGAAUGGGAGGAGAGUGCAUUGAUGGGUUCAGCGAUCCUGGAGAAGUUUGGUACAAACCGGUGGUACCACCCGGCUAACCCCAGGAAGCGCUGGACCUCCUUGAUGUUGGUGGGCACAGGGUAUUCCCGUAUAGCCUCCACUUUACUUGGGUCUGCAGCUAUGCCUUGGACGUUGACAAUGUGUCCCAGAAAGGUUAUUUCUUUAAGACAGAACUUGCUUUUUUUUAAAUUAAUGGUGAGGCCAGCCAUUUGCAGUUUAUGGAGGACAGCCUGGAGGUCGGAGAAGUGCUGGGCUACAGAUGGUGAGUAAAUAAUUAUGUCGUCAAUGUAGACAAAGCAGAUGUUUCCACGCAAUUCUCCUAGAACAGUCUCCAUUAGUCUUUGGAAGGUUGCUGGGGCAUUUUUUAACCCAAACGGCAUAACAUUAAACUGAAACAAUCCUGAUGGAGUUGUGAAAGCAGUUUUUGGUUUACUUUCUUGAUCCAUGUUCACCUGCCAGUAGCCACUGUUAAGGUCAAUCGUGGAAAAGAUGGCGGCUCCAGAUAGUGACUCUAAGAUCUCAGUGAUGUUGGGUAAAGGGUAAGCAUCAUUCUCUGUAAUGGCAUUAACUUUCCUGUAGUCCACACAAAACCUGAGGCUUCCGUCUUUUUUAGGGACCAAGACGACAGGUGAGGCCCAUCCAGAAUGUGAUGGUUCUACGAUGCCGGCAGUCAACAUCUCUUCCAGUUGCUCUGUAAUGACAGCUUGUUUGGCAGGUGUUGUACGGUACGGUCUUUGUUUUAUAGGCACUUGGUGGGUAGUAUAUAUGUGAUGCUGUGUAACUUCGGUACGUCCCAGGCGAAGGGUACAAACUUGAGGGUUUGACUCGAGGAUCUGCAGUAACUGUUGCUUUCCUUCCGGAGGUAAGUGGGCAUGCUGUACAGCAGUGUCAAUUAGGGUCUUGUCAUCCAGAUAGGCUGGUUGAACCAUGUUAAGUUGAGGAGGAGGAACAGAAGAUAGUAGAGAGAGACUGUUGGAGUUUUUACUUCCAAUCUUUCCCUUUGGAUGUUGGGAGCUGAUAACUGGUACACUGGCAUUUGUUGGCUGGAAAGGAUAAUACUCUUUAGGAUUGGACUGAAAUGAAUACUUUUGAUCUGCAACAUUGAUCUGCAGCCCACUGGAAAAGAUAAGGUCCAGUCCUAACACGACUGCAUAGGCCAGGGCUUUGGCUGAUAGAACCACAGCAGAUAUGGUGAAUAUUUUUUUAUGUAGGGUAAUUGGCAAGUUUACCCAACCUAAAGGAAUUUCUGCUUCCCCAUUGGCGAGGUAGAGUGGACCCUGGGUCCAUGGAUUGAGUUUUUGUGAAGAGAGUUCCUUCCAGAGAUUCUCAUGUAGAAGGGUGUAGCUAGCCCCAGUAUCAACAAUGGCUUUUCCUUUCCAGGUACCAAUACAGAGUGGUAUCACUAACUGUUGUGGAACAAUUUCAGUAGGUGGUGUUUUCUUACCAGUUGUGGGUGACUUCUGAGGAAAGGUGGCAGACACAGAGCGAUUGCCAGGUGGACCAGUACCUUUAGAAGCUGGAAAUGUUGUCCGCUUGCUAUUAGAGGAAAGGUGUUUGCUGGUGGACUGAGGUGACUGGGACUGAGAAGAGACAAAGUGAGGACAGUGGCCAGGGGAGUGAUGGCCUUUACAUCGCCAGCAUUGCACUAAAGGCUUCUCUGCCGGGUGGUUGGCAAUAGGUCUUUGAGGCAUGGAUAAGGGUUGCUUAGAACUCACACGUUUUUCAUAUUGCAGUUGUUGUUCGUAGUCUUUUUCCAGCUGUUGGCCCAGUUUCACAAGUUCAUCGACUGUGUUCACCCGACUGCGAAUCUGGCUUGCAAGAUAGGGGUUCAUAUUUUUUAAAAUCAUUUUCACCAAUUCACUGUCCGUCAAGGAGGGCUUCCACCUUUUGCAGAGAGCUCUGUAUGUAAAUGCAAAGUCUCUAAUGCUCUCUCUUUCUCCCUGUGUUCGUGUCCUUACCCGUUCAGCCAACUCAUCUUCAUAAUCCUCUGAGAGGAAAGCAGAGAGGAAAGCAGCUUCAAAUUCUUCCCACGUGGUUAUUGAGGAUCGUGCAACUUCCCACCAGUCCCGGGCAGUACCGUAAAGGACAGUGCGGAAAGUGGCCAGAAUGUCAGCAUCAGUAAGAGGAUGUAACGCUAAGAAAUCCUGACAUCGAGUUAGAUAGAGCAAGGGGUCCAUGUCAUCUGACUGUCUCCCAAAAGUAGGAAAUGUAAUCUUAAGAUGAUCACUCUUUACAACAGGAGCAGGAAGCAAAGGAGCGGUCACUGGUGAUACAGCUGAAACUGGAGCGUUAAGAGGCAAAGGAGUUGAUAGGAUACCAGGCAAGUCCUGCUGUGCCGCCGAAGACUGAGAUGAAGGGUCAAGUAAUGUACAUAUCUGCAUAGAGUCGCCAUUCGGUUCCUCCUCCCAGAUGAAGGGUUGAACAGGAGUACUGCCAGCUAGUGGUGAAGUUGCAAACCGCACCUGGGUUCCUGGUACAUCAGUGGUGCUGGCUUGAGUAGGAGUGACAUGGAGAGGAACACGAGAGAGUCCAGGUGGAGAAAGUAGAGGACGAGGUGCUGGAGGCCAGACUGGGGUAGCAACAUCGGGUGCCGGUGGUUCAAUCUCCACAAAAGUGGAUGGAGAGAGAGGAGUGGUAGCCAUGUUUGAUUGUCAAUGUAUGUGUAGUCAGUGUAAAAAUGUAGUGAAAUGUACGUUGAGUGAAAAAAAACAAACAACAAUGUACAAAUGUUUGAAAAAAAUAAAUUGGAACAGAAUACUCUAACAGUUCAGUGUGAAAUGUCUGUCCAGUUGUCCAAUUCACACUACAAUUCCCUUAAUUUCACAAACAAUAAUAAGAUUUCAAUAACACAAAUGAUUAUUUCCCCAGCUUUCACAUUAAUUAGGUCAAUCAGUAUAGCAGCAAGACAACUAAGGGGUAACAAUUAUAUAUUUAACAACGUGUAAGUUCAUGAACAAAAAAAAAAAUCUUCCCACAAAACCCUUCAAUAAAGAAAACUGUUUCAGUUCAGUAUACAUUUCACAAACACAAAAAUAUGCAGUUUUAAGUAACAAUAACCAACACUCAAGUAAUCCUUUAGGGAAACUAUAAUUCAAAGUUCCAGUGACCCGUUUAAGUGGUCACGAUCUAAAUGUUUAAGUUUCAAGUCGUCCAGGUUUAUCAAAGCGUUUAAUUUUCAGGUCCCUGUUCGGGCGCCAUUUAUGUAACGGUGGCUGCCCCAAAAAGAAUGGUACUUCAUAAAUGUAUAUUUAAUUUAAAUUGUUCGGGCGCCAGACAAGCAAAACUUGUCAAGAAAAUAAAAUAUUUGUUUAUUUAUUUAUUUAUAAUGCGUAACUAAUUUCGGUUUCCCCGUAAAUAGCUCAAGCCACUGUUACACAACAACAGAAAGGUUUCCAAAAAAAACUACAUGAAGUUAAAUUUUCAUACCAUUUGUAUUUUUUUCCGUUACUUCACAUAACAAAUGACAGAAGAAACGUGUAAACAGAAAGUAACAAUAUUGCGGUUCAAGUUCAAUUCAAGAUUUCAUAAACAAUCACAAAAUCACGAGAGUCCUUGAUUCACAAGUGUCUUAAAGUUCGUUUUCCUCUUUAAAGUUCUUUUCUUUUUACAUGUUCAAUUUUAAUCAAAGGGAAAAAAAAAACAAGAGAGAAGAAAAAAAAACACAACAAAGAAAACUAAAUAAUCCCAACGAGUGUUUGUGUAUGGGUGUAUGCGUGUGCAAUGAGAGUAUGUGUGUGUGUGUGUGUGUGUGUGUGUGUGUGUGUGGUGGCUGUGGGAAGUCCGUGUUGCGGCCGCUAAUCCCGGGCCGGGGACAGGGUACGUGAGGUUAACAAAUGAUGGACAACAUCACUAGUACCUGAGGCAGGCGAACGAACCAGUCUGGAUUGUGUAUCCCCAGGCAGGCGACCGAACCAUGUAGUAGAGCUCAAUUUCUCCGACACUUCGGCGAUCGCACCCAGUCAGCGCAUGCACAGAUUCCAGCACAAAACAGCAACGACCUUCAGGUAGCGUGCGUCCCAUUCCAAUACAACCUACACGUGUGUUUUGUCUUUACUUCCCUCUCUUUCACUUCCGUUUCUAAACUCACUUUUAUAUUAAAUUUCCUUCAUUGAUUUCCGCCCAUUAGAAAAAGUGAAAAGCUGGCAUGGAUUUCUUCCAAAUC
Carassius gibelio (silver crucian carp) is the source of this 6674-nucleotide long non-coding RNA. RefSeq lists it as uncharacterized. The transcript has 5 exons. NCBI's taxonomy places the organism in Eukaryota, Metazoa, Chordata, Actinopteri, Cypriniformes, Cyprinidae. The record is from RefSeq and is a predicted model, not a curated record.